Molecule: small RNA, 124 nt
Filed under: Marmota monax (woodchuck)
Lineage: Eukaryota; Metazoa; Chordata; Mammalia; Rodentia; Sciuridae
Source: RNAcentral
GCUGGGCACAAUGGCACAUGCCUGUAAUCCUAGCAGCUUGGGAAGCUGAGGCAGGAGGAUCCGGGGUUCAGAGCCAGCCUAGCAAGAACGAGGUGUUAAGCAACUUGGUGAGACCCUGUCUCUA